RNAcentral lists this ribosomal RNA (465 nucleotides) under Vreelandella stevensii. Its description in RNAcentral is "partial 16S ribosomal RNA". It matches the Rfam family "Bacterial small subunit ribosomal RNA", at positions 338 to 795 of the family's 1533-position model. Lineage: Bacteria; Pseudomonadati; Pseudomonadota; Gammaproteobacteria; Oceanospirillales; Halomonadaceae. The record is from RNAcentral.
CCUACGGGUGGCAGCAGUGGGGAAUAUUGGACAAUGGGCGAAAGCCUGAUCCAGCCAUGCCGCGUGUGUGAAGAAGGCCUUCGGGUUGUAAAGCACUUUCAGUGGGGAAGAAAGCCUUGGGGCUAAUACCCUCGAGGAAGGACAUCACCCACAGAAGAAGCACCGGCUAACUCCGUGCCAGCAGCCGCGGUAAUACGGAGGGUGCGAGCGUUAAUCGGAAUUACUGGGCGGAAAGCGCGCGUAGGCGGUCUGAUAAGCCGGUUGUGAAAGCCCCGGGCUCAACCUGGGAACGGCAUCCGGAACUGUCAGGCUAGAGUGCAGGAGAGGAAGGUAGAAUUCCCGGUGUAGCGGUGAAAUGCGUAGAGAUCGGGAGGAAUACCAGUGGCGAAGGCGGCCUUCUGGACUGACACUGACGCUGAGGUGCGAAAGCGUGGGUAGCAAACAGGAUUAGAUACCCUAGUAGUC